RNAcentral lists this ribosomal RNA (253 nucleotides) under uncultured bacterium. Its description in RNAcentral is "partial 16S ribosomal RNA". It matches the Rfam family "Bacterial small subunit ribosomal RNA", at positions 524 to 776 of the family's 1533-position model. The record is from RNAcentral.
UACAGAGGGUGCGAGCGGUAAUCGGAAUUACUGGGCGUAAAGCGUGCGUAGACGGUCAUGUAAGUCGGGUGUGAAAUCCCCGGGCUCAACCUGGGAAUUGGAUUCGAGACUGCGUGGCUAGGGUGCGGAAGAGGGAAGCGGAAUUUCCGGUGUAGCGGUGAAAUGCGUAGAUAUCGGAAGGAACAUCAGUGGCGAAAGCGGCUUCCUGGUCCAGCACCGACGUUCAGGCUCGAAAGCGUGGGGAGCAAACAGG